CUCCUGGAAACGGGUGGUAAUGCCGGAUGUUCCACAUGAGCGCAUGCGAGUGUGGGAAAGGCUUUUUGCGGCAUGGGAUGGGGUCGCGUCCUAUCAGCUUGUUGGUGGGGUAACGGCCUACCAAGGCGUUGACGGGUAGCCGGCCUGAGAGGGCGACCGGCCACAUUGGGACUGAGAUACGGCCCAGACUCCUACGGGAGGCAGCAGUGGGGAAUAUUGCACAAUGGGCGCAAGCCUGAUGCAGCGACGCCGCGUGCGGGAUGGAGGCCUUCGGGUUGUAAACCGCUUUUGUUCAAGGGCAAGGCACGGUUUCGGCCGUGUUGAGUGGAUUGUUCGAAUAAGCACCGGCUAACUACGUGCCAGCAGCCGCGGUAAUACGUAGGGUGCAAGCGUUAUCCGGAUUUAUUGGGCGUAAAGGGCUCGUAGGCGGUUCGUCGCGUCCGGUGUGAAAGUCCAUCGCUUAGCGGUGGAUCCGCGCCGGGUUCGGGCGGGCCAGAGUGCGGUAGGGGACACUGGCAUUCCCGCAGUAGGAACAUCCGGCAUAGCCAUCGGUAUGCACGAC
Molecule: ribosomal RNA, 562 nt
Filed under: uncultured Bifidobacterium sp.
Lineage: Bacteria; Bacillati; Actinomycetota; Actinomycetes; Bifidobacteriales; Bifidobacteriaceae
Description: bacterial SSU rRNA
Rfam family: Bacterial small subunit ribosomal RNA
Source: RNAcentral